This 602-nucleotide ribosomal RNA is filed under the name Lamprospora sp. RNAcentral's name for it is "partial large subunit ribosomal RNA". It matches the Rfam family "Eukaryotic large subunit ribosomal RNA", at positions 87 to 651 of the family's 3401-position model. The record is from RNAcentral. Lineage: Eukaryota; Fungi; Ascomycota; Pezizomycetes; Pezizales; Pyronemataceae.
CUGCGAGUGAAGCGGCAAAAGCUCAAAUUUGAAAUCUGACGUUCGUUAGGAUGUCCGAGUUGUAAUUUGGAGGAGCGUCUUCGGGAACGGACACCGUCCUAAGUUCUUUUGGAACUGGACAUCACAGAGGGUGAGAAUCCCGUGCCUGGGCGGCAGUCUAUUUCCAUGCGAAGCGUUUCCGACGAGUCGAGUUGUUUGGGAAUGCAGCUCAAAACGGGUGGUAAAUUUCAUCUAAAGCUAAAUACGGGCGAGAGACCGAUAGCGCACAAGUAGAGUGAUCGAAAGAUGAAAAGCACUUUGAAAAGAGAGUUAAAAAGUACGUGAAAUUGUUGAAAGGGAAGCGCUUGAGAUUGAACCUGGGGAGGGAUGGCUGCUAAGGUGUUAGCGGCUCUAUGGGCCACCUACCUCUGCAAACGUCAUCUCACAAUACCAGGCCACCAUCGGUUCUGACGGCGAGAAAAACAGCCAGGGAAUGUAGCUCCCCCCGGGGAGUGUUAUAGACCUAGCCUAUUUACGCCAGCUGGGACCGAGGAAAGAGCGAGCUGGGCUUAAUAACCCCAUGGUCUCAAGGAUGUGUGGCAAUGUUGAUCUUAAGCGACCCG